Molecule: small nucleolar RNA, 75 nt
Organism: Pseudophryne corroboree (corroboree frog)
Lineage: Eukaryota; Metazoa; Chordata; Amphibia; Anura; Myobatrachidae
Product: small nucleolar RNA snR60/Z15/Z230/Z193/J17
Exons: 1
Source: RefSeq, a predicted model, not a curated record
UAGAUGUGUAUGAUGAAAACAUAGUUCAGCUGAUAUCUGUGAAGAACAAUCUUUCGCUCCUAUCUGAUGCAUCUC